AGUGAACGCUGGCGGUAGGCCUAACACAUGCAAGUCGAACGGCAGCACAGUAAGAGCUUGCUCUUACGGGUGGCGAGUGGCGGACGGGUGAGGAAUACACCGGAAUCUACUUUUUCGCGGGGGAUAACGUAGGGAAACAUACGCUAAUACCGCAUACGACCUACGGGUGAAAGCAGGGGAUCUUCGCACCUUGCGCGAUUGAAUGAGCGGAUGUCGGAUUAGCUAGUUGGCGGGGUAAGGGCCCACCAAGGCGAGGAUCCGUAGCUGGUCUGAGAGAAUGAUCAGCGACACUGGAAGUGGAAGACGGGCCAGACUCCUACUGGGGGACGCAGUGGGGAAUAUUGGACAAUGGGCGCAAGCCUGAUCCAGCCAUACCGCGUGGGUUAAGAAGGCCUUCGGGUUGGAAAGCCCAUUGGUUGGGAAAGAAGAGCAGCAGGUUAAGACGCCGCUGUUCUGACGGUACCUGGAGAAUAAGCACCGGCUAACUUCGUG
This 492-nucleotide ribosomal RNA is filed under the name uncultured bacterium. RNAcentral describes it as "partial 16S ribosomal RNA". It matches the Rfam family "Bacterial small subunit ribosomal RNA", at positions 29 to 507 of the family's 1533-position model. The record is from RNAcentral.